GAUGAAGAACGCAGCGAAAUGCGAUAAGUAAUGUGAAUUGCAGAAUUCAGUGAAUCAUCGAAUCUUUGAACGCACAUUGCGCCCGCCAGCAUUCUGGCGAGCAUGCCUGUUCGAGCGUCAUUUCAACCCUCGACUUCCCUUUGGGGAAGUCGGCGUUGGGGACCGGCCGUAUACCGCCGGCCCCGAAAUGAAGUGGCGGCCCGUCCGCGGCGACCUCUGCGUAGUAAUCCAACUCGCACCGGAACCCCGACGUGGCCACGCCGUAAAACCCCCGACUUCUGAACGUUGACCUCGGAUCAGGUAGGAAUACCCGCUGAACUUAAGCAUAUCAAUAAGCGGAGGA
This 343-nucleotide unclassified non-coding RNA is filed under the name soil metagenome. RNAcentral's name for it is "partial contains 5.8S ribosomal RNA, internal transcribed spacer 2, and large subunit ribosomal RNA". The stretch from base 1 to 120 matches the Rfam family "5.8S ribosomal RNA", at positions 35 to 154 of the family's 154-position model. The record is from RNAcentral.